This 397-nucleotide ribosomal RNA is filed under the name Leptodactylus latrans (criolla frog). Its description in RNAcentral is "partial 16S ribosomal RNA". It matches the Rfam family "Bacterial large subunit ribosomal RNA", at positions 1971 to 2515 of the family's 2925-position model. Lineage: Eukaryota; Metazoa; Chordata; Amphibia; Anura; Leptodactylidae. The record is from RNAcentral.
GUUCUUUAAAUGAGGACUAGUAUGAAUGGCACCACGAAGGUUAUACUGUCUCCUUUCUUUAAUCAGUGAAACUAAUCUCUCCGUGAAGAAGCGGGGAUAUAAUUAUAAGACGAGAAGACCCUAUGGAGCUUUAAACGUGAGUAACAAUUGCCCGCCAUAAUAUUUUUCCCGGAAACUAACCGCAAUACUUAGGCAUCUUGAUUACAAGUUUUAGGUUGGGGUGACCGCGGAGCAGAAAAUAACCUCCGCAGUGAAUGGAACUUACUUCCUAAACCCAGGGCUACGACCCUAAGCAUCAAUAAAUUGACACUAAUUGACCCAAUAUUUUUGAUCAAUGAACCAAGUUACCCUAGGGAUAACAGCGCAAUCCACUUCAAGAGCCCCUAUCGACAAGUGG